Molecule: ribosomal RNA, 71 nt
Filed under: Prorocentrum minimum
Lineage: Eukaryota; Dinophyceae; Prorocentrales; Prorocentraceae
Description: partial Eukaryotic large subunit ribosomal RNA
Source: RNAcentral
AAGCUUGCCCGAUUCUGAUCUCCAGCACGCGUGCUAGCAGUGAUUGCAUGGACGAUCGAUCCCUUAGGUUA